This 308-nucleotide long non-coding RNA is filed under the name Vitis vinifera (wine grape). RNAcentral's name for it is "long non-coding RNA (VVIN_LNC000197)". Lineage: Eukaryota; Viridiplantae; Streptophyta; Magnoliopsida; Vitales; Vitaceae. The record is from RNAcentral.
GUUCUCCUUGUGCUGUGCUGUUAAUUUCUGAGCUGAAUGUGAUUCUAUAGAGCCGGGGCUACGGCGGGUUGGUGUGAUGACAGCGCGAUGCAUUGAAGAUGUCUAGGACAGCUGAUCAAGUGGUCAUUGGUGAGGCCAGCGGCUUGCAUGAACGAAUAAAUUACAGUGGGCCCAACCAACCUGAAACCCCUCCUCACCAUGUCUUUGCUGAUGCUCUCUGAUUUCGAGGUCUUCACUGGGAUCUUGUGGCAUGAUUUGUACUGGGUGGUAAUGGGCUUGUGAUUCACAAAUCCCCAGAUAUACUUGUG